GUGCUUUCGAAAUCGCCCUGGUCGUCUCCUCCCGCGCCGCACCCAGAUAAUGGGUUCCCGAGCUGCCGGCUCUUCCCGCCUCGGCCCUGUGACGCAUCUUGUAAAAAUAGCUCCCGGAACUCCACGCCUAGCCAGCCCCAGGCCGGACCGACUGCCCGGCGGGACUGCAGCGUGGGAGGCGCAGCCGGCCUCCAGGAGCGAGGGCCGGGGAUCCAGAGUCCAGGGCAAGGCGGGCCGGGGCAGCCCUGCCCGAGGGACUGGGGACCAUCCAAGGGGGAAGUGGGGUCAGAGUGCCCCCUCUGGGGAGAGAGGGCUGUAGAUCAGGCCCCCGACCCCCAUACUCCCCCACCCAGUAGAGGGGAAAGGAGGGCGUGGGCCGCAGGGAGCCAGCCCGGGCACGUGGCCUUUGCGGUGCCCAGGACACUGAUCCUCCCUGGUACCCUGGCUCACUUCCCGGCCAGAACUCCGUGGGGGUGGGGUGGGGUCUCCACGGGAUCCCCGCUGCCCUGGGGCCCAGACCUGCGCCCAUAUCGCCCCGGAGGCCUGGCUUCAUUUAAGGAGACUUGUCUGUCCCCAGAUAGCUCCGACGACUCACCAGCCCCAGACAGCUCCUUUGCUACCUUGUUUUUGUUCCAGCGUCUGCGCGGACAUCCCAGGUCAAGUGUGAGCAUCUCAGGAGAGCACCCUCUACCACCCAUGGUACUUAGAGAACUGAGAACCACCUGCCCACAGGUGAACCAGUCCUCCAGCGACUGGUGCUCCAGGAGCAUUUAGGCCUGAAACAAAAAUGUGUCAGCAGCUCGGAGUAGGUUACACCGUAGGUCACAGGCACCAGUGCCCAGUCCCUGGCUGGCUUCUCCCAUCACUCCGAUUCAGUGCUCUCAUUCUAGUUGGUAAGCACAUAACCAAGGCUUAUCCUCUGCAGGUACAGAGGAAACUGAGUGGAGGAGUAGAAGCAGAGGCAGUAUGGACAAGGGCUUCUUCCCAAUGCCAGCUUAUGAGGCAAGAAGAGGGAAAUGGGGUCUGGGGGAUGGAAACGUGUCUGAUAACCAUUGAUGGCUGAAAACCAAAUUAUUGUAGAAAAGCUUUCCUUUACCACCUUCCUUUCACAAGCUGUGAUAAAAUAGGUGAUUUUGUUUGUACUGAACCAUAUGAGAAGACUUCGUGUCGAUGGCAGGACCAACCGUCCCUCCUGGGGACUCCUCUGGGGGCAGCAACCACUCAGACGGGGUCCAGGGCUGGAGAAGUCCUAGUGAAUCAUUCUGUCCAACGUGCCGGCCGAGGAAGCCAAGGCUCAGGCACUUGACCUGGCCAGGGUGGAACCUACCUGCAGACGGCCUUCUUGUAUUCAUGCCAGGAGCUGAGGGCUUGCUGCUCUCUCCUACUCCCCACAUUUCCCACACACUAAGUUAACGGAGUGAAGUUGUAAGGAACCUGAAGUCAGUUGUGAAAGACAGAAAUUCCACUCAAAUUGCCAAUAUCCGUUG
Molecule: long non-coding RNA, 1487 nt
Filed under: Capra hircus (goat)
Lineage: Eukaryota; Metazoa; Chordata; Mammalia; Artiodactyla; Bovidae
Description: lncRNA (ENSCHIG00010027226.1)
Source: RNAcentral